UACGGGGGGGGCUAGCGUUGUUCGGAAUUACUGGGCGUAAAGGGUGCGUAGGCGGCCCGUUAAGUCAGUGGUGAAAGCCUCCAGCUCAACUGGAGAACUGCCAUUGAUACUGACGGGCUUGAGUACAGACGAGGUUGGCGGAAUUGAUUGUGUAGCGGUGAAAUGCAUAGAGAUCGGAAGGAACACCAGUGGCGAAGGCGGCUACCUGGACAGAUACUGACACUGAGGCGCGAGAGCGUGGGGAGCAAACAGG
Molecule: ribosomal RNA, 253 nt
Filed under: uncultured prokaryote
Description: partial 16S ribosomal RNA
Rfam family: Bacterial small subunit ribosomal RNA
Source: RNAcentral